AUUCCAGCUCCAAUAGCGUAUACUAAAGUUGUUGCAGUUAAAAAGCUCGUAGUUGAAUUUCUGGGUGCGAUAGGCGGUCCGUGUGCAUAACAUGUGUACCUCCCUCUCAUGCCCAUCCUCGAAGUGAAUAUGCAUUGCCUUAACUGUGUCGUGUAUAGGACCUUCGUCAUUUACUGUGAGCAAAAUAGAGUGUUCAAAGCAGGCUUAUGCCGUUGAAUAUAUUAGCAUGGAAUAAUAAGAUAUGACUUCCGUCUAUUUUGUUGGUUUGCAUUCGGAAGUAAUGAUUAAUAGGGAUAGUUGGGGGUUUUCGUAUUCAAUUGUCAGAGGUGAAAUUCUUGGAUUUAUGGAAGACGAACUACUGCGAAAGCAUCAACCAAGGAUGUUUUCAUUG
Molecule: ribosomal RNA, 391 nt
Filed under: Chrysophyceae sp.
Lineage: Eukaryota; Chrysophyceae
Description: partial small subunit ribosomal RNA
Rfam family: Eukaryotic small subunit ribosomal RNA
Source: RNAcentral